UAAAUGUCACAAUAAACACCUACAGUUCUAUGUAUCCCUCAUGCCUUAGCUUGGGACUUAGAUGCCCUUAAAUAAAUUCCAAUAGUCUUCCCCACUUAUCUCUCCAUGCUCGUUUUCUCUGUAUCAUCACCACCCACCCGAUCUACUCUCUCUAUUCUUCUCCACCCAUCCAUCUUAUGCCUUAAAAUUUAUCAAUUGGCAAAUACUCGGUACAUAGGAUCUCUAAUCAACAUGAAAUCUCUACUGAUUUGUCCCAUAAAGAUGGCACUAGUAAUGAUAAUGGAGGGUCAAGUUAAAUGGAUUUUGAGAUGAGUGAUCCUAUAGCUUCAAAUAUUGAUAAGAAUUCAGCCUCAAAUAUUGACUUCAAUCCAAGAUCCUGCAGCUUCAAAAGCCACUGUCACAUGCGGUUCCAAGCCCAUCGGUUAUCAAUCCCAUGUUUUUGCUCUUUGCUAAAUAAAAAAGCCAAUGCCUUUGCUCUUCUCAAUGGCUUUCUUUCCCAAAGUGUUUCUUUUUAUGCCUCUCUCAUCCUUCAAUUUGCCACUCUUCUUGACCUUACAACCUGUUAUUGUCUUUUUAAAGUAAAUGUUUCUUUCAUUAACUAUGUUUUCAUGUGAAACACUUUCCGCCUCAAGGCAUGUGUUGAUAAUUUGAAUGUUUAGAAGGGUAUGGAGAUUCAUGGGUUUUUCUUUAAA
Long non-coding RNA from Hevea brasiliensis (rubber tree), 692 nucleotides. RefSeq lists it as uncharacterized. The record is from RefSeq and is a predicted model, not a curated record. NCBI's taxonomy places the organism in Eukaryota, Viridiplantae, Streptophyta, Magnoliopsida, Malpighiales, Euphorbiaceae. The transcript is spliced from 2 exons.